CAUGCAUGUCUAAGUAUAAGCAACCUAUACUGUGAAACUGCGAAUGGCUCAUUAAAUCAGUUAUCGUUUAUUUGAUAGUACCUUACUACAUGGAUAACCGUGGUAAUUCUAGAGCUAAUACAUGCUAAAAACCCCGACUUCGGAAGGGGUGUAUUUAUUAGAUAAAAAACCAAUGCCCUUCGGGGCUCCUUGGUGAUUCAUGAUAACUCAACGAAUCGCAUGGCCUUGCGCCGGCGAUGGUUCAUUCAAAUUUCUGCCCUAUCAACUUUCGAUGGUAGGAUAGUGGCCUACCAUGGUAUCAACGGGUAACGGGGAAUUAGGGUUCUAUUCCGGAGAGGGAGCCUGAGAAACGGCUACCACAUCCAAGGAAGGCAGCAGGCGCGCAAAUUACCCAAUCCCGACACGGGGAGGUAGUGACAAUAAAUACUGAUACGGGGCUCUUUUGGGUCUCGUAAUUGGAAUGAGUACAAUUUAAAUCCCUUAACGAGGAACAAUUGGAGGGCAAGUCUGGUGCCAGCAGCCGCGGUAAUUCCAGCUCCAAUAGCGUAUAUUAAAGUUGUUGCAGUUAAAAAGCUCGUAGUUGAACCUUGGGCCUGGCUGGCCGGUCCGCCUCACCGCGUGUACUGGUCCGGCCGGGCCUUUCCUUCUGGGGAAUCGCAUGCCCUUCACUGGGUGUGUCGGGGAACCAGGACUUUUACUUUGAAAAAAUUAGAGUGUUCAAAGCAGGCCUUUGCUCGAAUACAUUAGCAUGGAAUAAUAGAAUAGGACGUGCGGUUCUAUUUUGUUGGUUUCUAGGACCGCCGUAAUGAUUAAUAGGGAUAGUCGGGGGCAUCAGUAUUCAAUUGUCAGAGGUGAAAUUCUUGGAUUUAUUGAAGACUAACUACUGCGAAAGCAUUUGCCAAGGAUGUUUUCAUUAAUCAGUGAACGAAAGUUAGGGGAUCGAAGACGAUCAGAUACCGUCGUAGUCUUAACCAUAAACUAUGCCGACUAGGGAUCGGGCGAUGUUAUCAUUUUGACUCGCUCGGCACCUUACGAGAAAUCAAAGUCUUUGGGUUCUGGGGGGAG
Molecule: ribosomal RNA, 1065 nt
Filed under: Hysteropatella clavispora
Lineage: Eukaryota; Fungi; Ascomycota; Dothideomycetes; Patellariales
Description: SSU rRNA
Rfam family: Eukaryotic small subunit ribosomal RNA
Source: RNAcentral